Molecule: ribosomal RNA, 489 nt
Filed under: uncultured bacterium
Lineage: Bacteria
Description: partial 16S ribosomal RNA
Rfam family: Bacterial small subunit ribosomal RNA
Source: RNAcentral
AUUGAACGCUGGCGGCAGGCCUAACACAUGCAAGUCGAACGGUAACAGGAAGAAGCUUGCUUCUUUGCUGACGAGUGGCGGACGGGUGAGUAAUGUCUGGGAAACUGCCUGAUGGAGGGGGAUAACUACUGGAAACGGUAGCUAAUACCGCAUAAUGUCGCAAGACCAAGAGGGGGACCUUCGGGCCUCUUGCCAUCGGAUGUGCCCAGAUGGGAUUAGCUAGUAGGUGGGGUAACGGCUCACCUAGGCGACGAUCCCUAGCUGGUCUGAGAGGAUGACCAGCCACACUGGAACUGAGACACGGUCCAGACUCCUACGGGAGGCAGCAGUGGGGAAUAUUGCACAAUGGGCGCAAGCCUGAUGCAGCUAUGCCGCGUGUAUGAAGAAGGCCUUCGGGUUGUAAAGUACUUUCAGCGGGGAGGAAGGGAGUAAAGUUAAUACCUUUGCUCAUUGACGUUACCCGCAGAAGAAGCACCGGCUAACUCCGUG